This 433-nucleotide ribosomal RNA is filed under the name uncultured bacterium. Its description in RNAcentral is "partial 16S ribosomal RNA". It matches the Rfam family "Bacterial small subunit ribosomal RNA", at positions 29 to 507 of the family's 1533-position model. The record is from RNAcentral.
AAUGAACGCUGGCGGCAGGCUUAACACAUGCAAGUCGAGCGCAUCCUUCGGGGUGAGCGGCAGACGGGUGAGUAACGCGUGGGAAUCUACCUUUUGCUACGGAAUAGCUCCGGGAAACUGGAAUUAAUACCGUAUGUGCCCUUAGGGGGAAAGAUUUAUCGGCAAGAGAUGAGCCCGCGUUGGAUUAGCUAGUUGGUGGGGUAAAGGCCUACCAAGGCGACGAUCCAUAGCUGGUCUGAGAGGAUGAUCAGCCACAUUGGGACUGAGACACGGCCCAAACUCCUACGGGAGGCAGCAGUGGGGAAUAUUGGACAAUGGGCGCAAGCCUGAUCCAGCCAUGCCGCGUGAGUGAUGAAGGCCUUAGGGUUGUAAAGCUCUUUCACCGGAGAAGAUAAUGACGGUAUCCGGAGAAGAAGCCCCGGCUAACUUCGUG